UGCCAAGUUACAAAGGGCACACGGUGGAUGCCUAGGCGCCAGAAGCCGAUGAAGGACGUAGGAGGCUGCGAUAAGCCUCGGGGAGCUGCCAACCAAGCGUUGAUCCGGGGAUGUCCGAAUGGGGAAACCCGGCACGGGUCAUGCCGUGUCACUCCGGUCUGAACACAUAGGACCGGUAGAGGUAACCCGGGAAACUGAAACAUCUCAGUACCCGGAGGAAGAGAAAGCAACCGCGAUCCCCUCAGUAGCGGCGAGCGAACGGGGGCCAGCCUAAACCGAGGUAACGUGACAGCGUGUAGGCGUUGUUGCCUCGGGGUCGCGGGACCCGACAGGGGGAGCUGCACCUCCUCCAGGGAGUUACAAAGGACGUGGGUAGUCGAAGGCCUUGGAAACGGCCGCCACAGCGGGUAACAGCCCCGUAGACGAAACUCAUCGACCCUCCCGUCGGUGCUUCCCAAGUAAGGCGGAGGACAUUCCGUCUGAAUCCGGGGGGACCACCCCCUAAGGCUAAACACUCUCUGGCGACCGAUAGCGGACUAGUACCGUGAGGGAAAGGUGAAAAGUACCCCGGGAGGGGAGUGAAAUAGUACCUGAAACCGUGUGCUUACAAACAGUCGGAGCGGUUCCUUCGGGAGCUGUGACGGCGUGCCUUUUGAAGAAUGAGCCGGCGAGUUAGCGAUACGCGGCGAGGUUAACCCGAGUGGGGGAGCCGUAGCGAAAGCGAGUCUGAAACGGGCGUUUCAGUCGCGUGUCCUAGACCCGAAGCCGAGUGAUCUAACCAUGGGCAGGGUGAAGCGAGGGUAAGACCUCGUGGAGGCCCGAACCCACCAGGGUUGAAAACCUGGGGGAUGACCUGUGGUUAGGGGUGAAAGGCCAAUCAAACUCGGUGAUAGCUGGUUCUCCCCGAAAUGCAUUUAGGUGCAGCCUUGGAUGUUUCGUGACGGAGGUAGAGCACUGGAUGGGCUAGGGGGCCUACAAGCUUACCGACCUCAGCCAAACUCCGAAUGCCGUCACGUGAGAGUCCAGGAGUGAGACUGCGGGGGAUAAGC
This 1049-nucleotide ribosomal RNA is filed under the name Chloroflexota bacterium. Its description in RNAcentral is "partial 23S ribosomal RNA". It matches the Rfam family "Bacterial large subunit ribosomal RNA", at positions 1 to 1003 of the family's 2925-position model. The record is from RNAcentral. Lineage: Bacteria; Bacillati; Chloroflexota.